This 427-nucleotide ribosomal RNA is filed under the name uncultured bacterium. RNAcentral's name for it is "partial 16S ribosomal RNA". It matches the Rfam family "Bacterial small subunit ribosomal RNA", at positions 355 to 774 of the family's 1533-position model. The record is from RNAcentral.
UGGGGAAUAUUGCACAAUGGGCACAAGCCUGAUGCAGCCAUGCCGCGUGUAUGAAGAAGGCCUUCGGGUUGUAAAGUACUUUCAGCGGGGAGGAAGGGAGUAAAGUUAAUACCUUUGCUCAUUGACGUUACCCGCAGAAGAAGCACCGGCUAACUCCGUGCCAGCAGCCGCGGUAAUACGGAGGGUGCAAGCGUUAAUCGGAAUUACUGGGCGUAAAGCGCACGCAGGCGGUUUGUUAAGUCAGAUGUGAAAUCCCCGGGCUCAACCUGGGAACUGCAUCUGAUACUGGCAAGCUUGAGUCUCGUAGAGGGGGGUAGAAUUCCAGGUGUAGCGGUGAAAUGCGUAGAGAUCUGGAGGAAUACCGGUGGCGAAGGCGGCCCCCUGGACGAAGACUGACGCUCAGGUGCGAAAGCGUGGGGAGCAAACA